CGCGGGGUGGAGCAGUUCGGUAGCUCGCUGGGCUCAUAACCCAGAGGUCGCAGGUUCAAAUCCUGUCCCCGCAACAA
Molecule: transfer RNA, 77 nt
Filed under: Subtercola boreus
Lineage: Bacteria; Bacillati; Actinomycetota; Actinomycetes; Micrococcales; Microbacteriaceae
Also listed under: 11 other names
Description: tRNA-Met
Rfam family: tRNA
About the family: Transfer RNA (tRNA) molecules are approximately 80 nucleotides in length. Their secondary structure includes four short double-helical elements and three loops (D, anti-codon, and T loops).
Source: RNAcentral